GUUAAAAACAGAGAGAAGCUUAUUAAAAACAGAAAGAAUUCUUCAUUAAAAAUGGUAGAGUUGUCAUGAUCUGUUUCAUGGCGAAGAACUACCGAUAGUUAGGGUUUUAAUUUUAUGUUUAUUUAAUUUGAUUAUUACUCACAUGCAGUUGAAUCAAGGUUCUGUUUUCCAUCACUUGCUGUUGAAUCGAUGUCAUGGUUCAUCGAAUUUAAGGGUUUGCUCCAUCACAGUUGAAGGAAGACGAAGAGAUAUCAAACCCCGUUCCAUUUUUCAUAGUUUGUUGCAUAGAUAUAGUUUAAUUUUGUUUAUUUAGAACAUGCAAUUUUGGGUUUAAGAAGAAUUUGAUUUAUUACUGAUUUCAAACAUUUAAUUUUGAUUGCAAUAAUUACGGUUCAACAGAUGAAAUUUUAUUUUUAAGGUUCUUAAAAUUAGGGAUUUUCAAGGCUCAGAUAAAGAAGAUGACUUCUUUUCCAUUUAGUUUUGCUUUUUUCUCCACAAAACACUUAAUUAAUUAAUGAAAAUCAUGACCAUCCAUGAACUUUGAAAUACGAAGUAGGAAAUUAGAUGCAUAUUUCUAAGGUUGGAUGGAAAAGGUGACGGUGGGGUAUUUUCUCAUAAUUUUUUUUUUCAUGGGACAUUUUUCCUAUGGGGAAUCGAAAUAUAGGGUAUUUUUCCAGUUUUUUCAAAGAAGUAUUUUCGUCUGCUGGUAGAGAAAAAGAAGAAUCUUGAAGAUUUGUUGGAGCUUGAAUUCCCAUGUCCUCCUUAAAUAAUGUUUUGAAGAAAGAAAUUAAUUCAUCUGCUAUAUCAAUUGGUUUAGUUAGCCAUUGUCCAUUAGGAUCAGAUUCUUGGAAUAAUACUCAGUCGAUUUCUUACUGGUUUCGUAGUAUAAAUAGAUCUCAUGGUGUGCAAUUAAAUGGAGUUCUUCAUUGGUUAGGUGUCUUUGGAAAAACGACUACUGAAGUCAUUGUGUCUUUCGAUGUUUCUAACGAGAGAAUUGCAGAUUUACCACUCCCAGAAGAAAUUAUGUUAUUGUCACUAUUGCGUAAAACUAAAACUGUGGGAGUAUUAGGAAAAUGUCUAUGUUUACUUGUUGAUAUGCAUUGCUCCGAGUGUGACAUGUGGGUGAUGCAGAAUUACAAAGUGAAGGAAUCCUGGGCUAAACAGUUUACCAUUACCGAGGGUCUGAAAUGCUGCUACCAGCUGUGAAGGCAAAAAUGACACAUUGAAUAAGAACCUAUCUGGAGUAGAAAUUGGGUUCAAAAUUUUCUUCUUGAUUUCUCAAUUUAGGUCAUGGGCUAAAGGAGGUGCUGUCAUGGGGUUUUAUGAGGCUACAUCAUGAGAUUCGAUCAAUCAACUGCAACUUGGGUUUGGAUGGGGUUAUCUUAUUUUUGGAUAUAUCUCAUAAGUUUCAAUUUUUCUUCAUAUAAGAUAUGAAGUUUAGUCAUUCAAAGGAUUUGGGGGUUUUUGAGAUCCUACUCUGGUAGGGAUUUGAUUAUUUUCGACUUCUGUAAAGAAUCUACUUUUAAUUCAAGAAAAGUUUCAGAUAA
Papaver somniferum (opium poppy) is the source of this 1547-nucleotide long non-coding RNA. RefSeq lists it as uncharacterized. Lineage: Eukaryota; Viridiplantae; Streptophyta; Magnoliopsida; Ranunculales; Papaveraceae. The record is from RefSeq and is a predicted model, not a curated record. The transcript has 3 exons.